Triticum aestivum (bread wheat) is the source of this 2045-nucleotide long non-coding RNA. RefSeq lists it as uncharacterized. The transcript is spliced from 3 exons. The record is from RefSeq and is a predicted model, not a curated record. Lineage: Eukaryota; Viridiplantae; Streptophyta; Magnoliopsida; Poales; Poaceae.
CUUCCUCCUCCAGCAGCAUGGCCAGCGCAUCCUCGUCAUCCGAGUCCAUCGCCGGGGCAGGCAAAUCGCCGAACACCUUGCGCCCGGUGGGCGUGUACCCUUCGCGGCCGGAAACGGCCAGCUGCUGGUGGAGGGGCUGCCUCGGCAAACCUCUGCUAUUUUUUCGGCGGGGAUUGGCUAUCUAGCGGUGAAGGACGGCGGGCGGCGCCGGGAUAGCUACUGGCGGCCGAGGGCGCGGGGGGUGGGAGGCGAGUCGGGGAAGAAGAACUUAACUUUUCCACCUGACGGUGUGGGCCAGCCGCGCUUUUGCCUUGCGCCAAAGCCCCCGAUCGCCCCCCAGUGCGCCAGGUUCGGCCUGCGACCGCCGGGCCUAAAAACGGGCCGAACCGGCGCUUUUCGGCGUCCUGAGGGCACAACUGGGACGUUUUUUUGGCGCCGGCACCGAAAAAGUGACCUGUGGGAGGCCUCUCGGGGGGGCGGCUGGAGAUGCUCUCACAUCUCGUGUUCCAGUUCAGCUGAUAUUCCCCAUCCUAGUCGCUAAGCGCGGGCCAGACUGCAACAGAGCGGAGCCACUAAUCUGGUGACCUCCGGCGAGCUCGCAUCCUUGAGCCUCGGUCGUCGAUCUGCUCUGCAAUCCCUCCUGGCUCCUCCGCCCCACGCUGCAACGGAGCGACCAUCCCGGUCAACUCCGGCGAGCUCACCCCGCCUCCUUCAGGAUCCAGCCUCAAUCGUCGAUCUGCGCCGCCGCCACUUCUACCCCCGCGGCUCUCCACCCGCAAGCACGGCGAUCUGACCCACCCUACCCCCACCCACACAGACGCAUCGAAGUAAGUGCGCGGCGCACCUGGAGCGAAGAGAUGGCGGUGACCAUGACGAGCGUUUCCACCGGCGUGAUGUACUCCCUCCUCGGGAAGCUCGCAACGCUGAUGGGGAAUGAGCAUCGCAAGAUCAAAGGCGUCCGGAACAAGGUAGCGUCCCUUCUGGACGAGUUCAGUAGCAUGAGUGCUCUGCUUGUGAAGCUCGCAGGCAUGGAUGAGCUUGACGUUCAGGCGAGGGAGUGGAGGGACCAGGUCCGGGAGAUGUCAUACGACAUCGAAGACUGCGUCGACGAUUUCAUGCGUGACCUUGGACAAAAAGGCGCAACCACUGGAUUUCUGAAGAAGACUGCCGAACGCCUGAAGAAGCUCAGGGUGCGCCAUCAAAUGGCCACCAUGAUCCGUAGGAUCGAGACUCGUGUAAGUGAAGUGCAUGACCGGCGCACGAGGUACAAAAUUGAUGAGUACACUCCAUAAUCCGGCAUUGUCGCUGUCGAUCCAAGAGUGAUUGCCAUCUAUGCAGAGGCGGCCGGUCUUGUGGGCAUCGAUGCUCCAAGAGACGAGCUCGUGGAAGAUGUUGAUGGUUGAAGGGAAAGAGCUGAGGGUGGCUUCUAUUGUGGGAUUCGCUGGUCUUGGAAAAACCACACUUGCAAAUGAAGUGUACCGUAAGCUUCAAGGACAAUUUGAUUGCCAUGCAUUUGUGUCGGUGUCUCACAAACCAGAUAUGCCGAACCUUCUCAGCAAUUUGUUAUGGAAACUUGUGGGGCAACACUCUUCUCAAAUGGGCAAGUUGGACCGGUAUCAGGGAAUAUCUAUCGAAUAAGAGUAGAACUCCUGCUCGACCUGGACGUACUCGGGAUGCUCCCGCGCAAACCGAGCCAUCGCCGCUCUCUCCGGGAGUGACGACAACCGCCGGUCUCUUCUUCGCCAGCAUCUCCUCCAUCCGGAUACCCUGCGCCACGAGCCACUCCGCCACCGCCCGGGUCUCGAUCUCCGGGAAGUUGAGCUCCAGCAUGGACGUAGGAGACGUUCACCGUCGAGCUCGAGCAUGGACGUAGGAAAGGACGUCAAGCAACGGCUCCGGACAGGUGUACGACAUGCGUAGACAUCGUUGUCGCCAGCACCACUGAAAAUUCCCGAUGAAGUUAGUAAUAAUGUACAUCUAUGAAUAACCACAAAAAGAAAAGGAAAACUCUCUAAAUCAACCGGUUGAUCUUUCCCUCCCGUAAA